This 150-nucleotide ribosomal RNA is filed under the name Xestia c-nigrum (spotted cutworm). RNAcentral describes it as "partial large subunit ribosomal RNA". The record is from RNAcentral. Lineage: Eukaryota; Metazoa; Arthropoda; Insecta; Lepidoptera; Noctuidae.
AAAUAAUUUAGUUAAAAUUAUUUGUAUAAUUAUAAAUUGAAAUUAAUUUAUUUAUUUUGUUGGGGUGACAAAAAAAUAAGUAAAACUUUUUUUUUAAAAAAACAUAUAUAAGUGAAUAAAUGAUCCAAUAUUAUUGAUUAAAAGAAAAAA